Molecule: long non-coding RNA, 271 nt
Filed under: Salvia miltiorrhiza (redroot sage)
Lineage: Eukaryota; Viridiplantae; Streptophyta; Magnoliopsida; Lamiales; Lamiaceae
Description: long non-coding RNA (SMIL_LNC012165)
Source: RNAcentral
CUGAUGAAUCUGGAUUCGCGGGUACACUUAAAGACUCUAGAUGCAGACAAUAGAUGGGGCAAACAACUGGGUGAUAACGAAAAGGAGAAGAUGAUAAGAGAAGAAGAAUUGUUGCGACAUCCCGCGCAAAAGAUGAAGAAAAAGAUAUAUAAAAGACAUGAAUCGCCUCAAAAGUCUCUACCUACAGUUGAGAAGACAAGUCGGAAUUCUUCCAACUUGAGUCCUUCAGCUAACGAGGACGCUGCUCAAGCUGAACCAGCGAGCAUCAUGA